GACAGAGGUGCCGAGCGUUAGGCGGAAUCACUGGGCUUAAAGCGUGUGUAGGCGGGCGGGCAAGUACCUUGUGAAAUCCCACGGCUCAACCGUGGAACGGCUGGGUAUACUGCCUGUCUUGAGCCAACUAGGGGCGAGCGGAACAGACGGUGGAGCGGUGAAAUGCGUAGAUAUCAUUUGGAACGCCAAUGGUGAAAACAGCUCGCUGGGAAUGAUCUGACACUGAGACGCGAAAGCCAGGGGAGCGAACGGG
Molecule: ribosomal RNA, 253 nt
Filed under: uncultured bacterium
Lineage: Bacteria
Description: partial 16S ribosomal RNA
Rfam family: Bacterial small subunit ribosomal RNA
Source: RNAcentral